This is an RNA transcript of Haliotis rufescens (red abalone), 2159 nucleotides long. It is a transcript of the gene named leucine-rich repeat-containing protein 71-like, with no coding region annotated. NCBI's taxonomy places the organism in Eukaryota, Metazoa, Mollusca, Gastropoda, Lepetellida, Haliotidae. The transcript has 19 exons. The record is from RefSeq and is a predicted model, not a curated record.
CAUGGAGGGGGAGAGACGCGUUAGUUUCAUCGACAAUAUGGCUGAGGUGGGACUGAGUAGUCUCUCUAUCGCUGCCAAGAGGUUCAGGAAGAAAGGGGGGAAAGAUGACGAAGGGGGUUAUCGACAGGUGGCGCUAUUGGGCAUCGCAGCAAGAAUCAAAAUGGGCCGCAAAGGUGAAAAGAGUUUGAGCAAAGACAAAAAUCAGUCCUCAGCGAGCCAAGAUGCCCAAGAUGAGGAUUCCAACAAGACCCCAGAGCCGUACAACUGCUCCGGCUUUUUCCAGCCCGACUUUACUGAGUUGUGCCACAGACAAGACAUGACCUACAUUCCACAGAUCGUUCCCCGCCCGCGGCCACCGGCCCCGUCUCCCAGUCAGGCCGCGGAAGGUAAACCGGAGAAGGGUAAAGAUAAAAACAAACAACUCAGUGCCCCGGAACCAGACCCGGAACCUUUGUUAGACGAGGAUGGUGAGCCAGUCGAGCCUCCUCCCAAGACAUACACCAUGAAGGACAAGUUUGAGUACUUCAAGCCAUCCAUACAGGUGGAGAUGGACAACCCUGACAAGUUGGACACUGUCACCGAAGUGUACAUCCGUGGGUGGAAGGUGGAUGACUGUAUGAUGGAGAUAUUCAAGCAGUGCUGGCCGGCCAUGGAGAGGCUACAUACAAUCAACUUGUGGCAGGUUGGACUGACGGGGGAGACAGUGGCCAUCUUGGCAUCCUUCAUACCACUCUGUAUGAAUCUCAAGAACCUGAUCCUGGAUGGCAAUAGCAUACAGGAGGGGGAGGAGAACUGGCAUCUGUUGGUGGAUGAUGACAGCAGUGUUCAGCUUCUCUCACUCCAACAUUGCUCUGUCUCGGACGAGGCAGCGGUGGGGAUCGGCAAGGCACUGGGGACAGCCAAACGGUUCAACACAAAGCUUAUGUCUCUCAACCUGGCCGGCAACCGAAUCACAGAUGUUGGUGCGGAGCAUCUCGCAGGGGGGCUGAGGAUGAACCGAUCGCUGCUGUCUCUCUCCCUCGCCAACAAUCACAUCGGAGAUAAGGGGGUGAAGAAAAUAGCAGAGGCUCUGUCUCGGUUUCCAUUGACCCAUGAAGAGGUAGUAGAACGUCGUCGACUCAUCUCAGAGAAAGGUUCUCCAGAGAGAAAUAAAUCUCCCCCACCGAGUCGCCGAGCUGAGUCCAAGGACCGUCCUGGCAGUGUUCGAAGCAGCUCCCACACAGACAAGGACAAGUCUAAGCGAGACAAACCAUCGGCUAAAAAGAAUAAGGAUCCGAAGGCAAAAGAGGAAGACAAGAAGGGAGGGACGAGAAAAGAAAAAGACGACAAAGGCAGCUCCAAGAAGGGUUUUUUCAAAUCGUUUAUCGGACAGUUGAUGUUUCAAAACCAUCGUCCAGCCUCUAUAGCUGCUGAUGCAGGGAAGAGUGUGGGGAAGACGAAGGACAAGAAGGUCAAGAAACCAACACCACAGGAACAGGAGCAACCCGAUGUCCCCGAGGUGAUCAACCCUCUGAUGGAGGUGGCUGACUACAUGUCUGAGCUGAAGACCCUCAUGGUGGCCGGGAACCGGGUCCUGCUGAAUCUCAACCUCUCCAGGAACCAGAUCACAGAGGAUGGUGUGGAGGAGCUGAUCAAGGCAGCCCAGUACCAGAAGACCCUGCUGAUGGACAACAAGAUCAACGGCACCGGUCUCAUGAGGAUCUGCCUACAUAAGAACAAGGUGUCUGCCGACAGUGAUGAGCUGAAGAAACUGAAUGACAUGAUGGCAGCAAAACAUCCCUUCUACAAACCACCAGCCACACCGGAUGGAGAAGCAGUCUGAGCGAUGUCCCACAUCAUCAGGUGACAUAGGCAACCAAUAAUCCAGCAGUUGUCCACUGUUUUUAAGAGGAUUUCAAAAGUUAAAGCAAAAUGGAUCAACAUUUUUAAGGAACACAAAUUUUCGACUGAGGACUUCAAAAUGUGCAAAUUGCUGUCUUUACAAACUGCAGAACAAUUGAAUUUGACAACAGAGAAACAUGCCAUUUUGAUGGUGUUGGAUUUACAUUUGUUUAAAUGGUGAAACAGUGAACAGGUGUUCACAACACAAGCUGUGAUGGAAUGAUUGUGAUAUUUUGAAUGUAUAUAUUCUCAAAAUGAUAAUAAAUUGUUUGACUGCA